This is a long non-coding RNA of Photinus pyralis (common eastern firefly), 1841 nucleotides long. RefSeq lists it as uncharacterized. The record is from RefSeq and is a predicted model, not a curated record. The transcript has 3 exons. Lineage: Eukaryota; Metazoa; Arthropoda; Insecta; Coleoptera; Lampyridae.
GCCACACAUAAACGAGACGUGUACGAUACGAGCGCGAGACGAGUGCCGGCACGAGCUCCGUCCCUUGACGUCCCAGUCACACUGUAACGUAGACCCGUUGCGAGCGAUAGUAUACCUAACCUAGUUUGAGGGUUCAGUGAUGUUUUCAAAUUUUACUAGUACUGAAUUGGCUAUAAUAGCCUUGGCGCUAGAUGAAGAGGAUAAUUAUAAAACUCAAUCAAAGAAGAAAGUAUGGGUCCAUAAUGCCUGGAAAAGUAGGGAUACAGAAGGGGAAUUUAUAACACUGUAUCCACAUUUACUAGACGAUGAAACAAAGUUCUACGAAUAUUUUAGGAUGACACAGGCAACGUUUCAAGAUCUAUUAGGAAAAGUAGAAAAUCAGUUAAAAAAACAAGAUACAUUUUGGAGAUCUGCAAUUGAACCUAAACAGCGGUUAGCAGUUUGCUUGAGAUUCCUAGCAACCGGGGAUUCUUUCAAAACAAUAUCUUUCAGCUUUAGAUUGGGUCGAUCAACUGUGCAAUCCAUCAUUCAUCAUACAUGCCGAAUAAUUGUUGACAUUCUUUUAGAGGAGGUUAUGCCGGUGCCUAAUGAAGAUACAUGGAAUACAAUUGCAGAUUACUUUUGGAAAAUGUGGCAAUUUCCUAACUGCAUCGGAGCUUUGGAUGGCAAGCAUUGUGUAAUACAAGCUCCUAAAAAUAGCGGCAGUCUUUAUUGGAAUUACAAAAGACGUUUUCUUUGGUUCUUUUAGCUCUAGUAGAUGCACAGUAUAAUUUUAUUGCAGUAGAUGUCGGGGCUUAUGGCAAAAAUUCUGAUGCAGGCAUACUUUCCAACUCAAACCUUGGGACGUCUUUAGAAAAUGGAUCAAUAAAUAUACCAAGAGGCAAGAAGCUUCCAGGUUCUGAUGUUGACCUACCCAUGAUAAUUGUUGGUGAUGAAGGCUUUCCUUUGAAAACCUAUUUAAUGCGACCUUAUCCAGGAGCAAACUUGGAUAAUGAAAAAAAAAUCUUCAAUUAUCGCCUUUCUCGUGCAAGGAGAGUUUCAGAAAAUGCUUUUGGAAUUCUUCAACAAAAGUUUCGUAUAUAUACAAGAAGAUUACAGGGUGUAACGUCUAAAAUCGGCGUGCGCGCGGAAAAUUGGAGGGAGAAAGUAGAUUGGGAAAGAGGCGGUUGCGUCAAGCAAAAAGGAAAAAGAGUGUGUUUGUAGCGGAGAUUAAAGAAAGGCGUUUAAGAGAAAUUGCGAAUCGACUGGGGCCCGAGAAUUGCAUUAGAAGAAAUAAUAAUUGUUGUAUUGGCCGUCCAAAAAUUUAACAACGGACCAAGUUAACGCGAGCCGUUUUCCAUCUAUAGGCUUUCUCUACCCCAAUGUGCAUAGAAGGUAGAAUGUAGAUAGAUUUGAAGUAAAUCCGAAGCACGGAGAGUGAAUACCGAGUCCUUUCGAUAUCGAACUAAUCAGCAUCGUUGUCAGCAUUCAGCGACCUCCAAAUUUAAUCAAGAGCCUGCUCCGCCAGCUCGGCUGUACACAAUUCCUUUCCGGAAAACCCACAAACAGAUAAGAAAGAACGCCGUGUUCAUAAUUGUUUGUACCUGAGUUAUCACCCAAUUAACCAUCAUUCACCUCAUUUCAUUCACCAUUAGUACAGCAUAAUUCUAACCACCAUCAAUCGUAACUUUGUGAUAUAAAUUAAUUAAGUGUUAGGUUAACUUUAUAAUCAAUAAUACGUGUCGAUUUAUCUGUCGGUUGGCAUGUGAGUUAAAGACAGAUUGGCGCCCAAAAAGUAUAUAAUAAAAUUAAAUGAAAUUGUAAAUAUUUGUAUCCACGACCCCGCCACCCCCAGGAACUGA